GUGUGUGUGUGUGUGUGUGUGUUUGUGUGUGUGUGUGCGUGUGCGUUUGUGUUUGUGUGUGUGUGCGGAGGAUCCUCAAAGUCAAUAACUAUCUUCACUAUCUCAGAGUACAGUGGCCAGAGGCACACAGUAGCCACUAGCUAUCAGUGUGGGCAGAUCAACACAAAACCAUUUACUCUUCGUGGCAAUUGGAAAGAGGACAACAUGACAUAUCUACCAUCAAUAAAGUGGUUCUUAACAUGUGGCUCUACAAGAUGAUUCUGAAGUGGUGUUCGUGCUACAGGUUUUUGCGCGGUCAGCUGUGUUUACACUGCAGGAUGCUCAAUCAUCCUGCUAACUCUGAAGUCAAACCUGUCCAGUGUUGGGGGGCUGCAGCGCCGGCGUGUCAUAACCACAAACAGGGUGGUUAUGGCGAUGAGUGCCCAUGAGGACCCAGGUUUGAUUCCAGCCUAAGGUCAUCUCUCUAUCACACUCAUUUCUGCUCGUAUCUUCACUGUCCUAUUCAAUAAAGGCUGGAAAAGCCCAAAAAUAAAACAAAAAAUAGAAAAUAAAAUAAAAACUUGUCCAGUGCUGACUAUCAAACAGACUAGGGCCAGAUCAGGGCCGCAUCUACUCCAGUGCACUGCUGUCUCAAAUAGGUCAAAUUUGACCUUUGACUUAUGAGGGCUCAAGAGGAAACAAAAAAGAGCAAAUGUGACUUUAUUUCUUUAUUUGUUGUUUGCGCUCCCUUUUUCACGCAAUACCUGCCAGAUCUACCCAAAGGAUCAUGGGAGUUUAAAUGUUUGAGAGAGGUGGUACAGUCGAACGUAGACUCUGCUCCUUAGGUGAGAUCUGACUUGACUUGUGUGUCGGUAGUGUAAAGCAGGGCAAAAAAAAAAAAAAAACAGACAAGAAGUUUUUUGACGUUGUCAAGAAAGUUUCUCUGCCUUGGGAGUCAGCAGUGUACUACAACAGUAGCUUUCUUGACAAGAAAGUCUGCAUUCCUCUGUGUACUUACACAGCAGUUUCACAACCACCCCAUAACAAGGAAGUGAGUUCAAUGUCAUGGCACUGUUUACCUCAACCCGAGCACAACAUCUUGGACUGUGCUGAUGGAUUAUCUCUUCCUGAGAGUGCCGGGGCCACUGCCAUCAAAGCGCUUCGGUGGCUGCUCUCUACGCCGGAAACCAUUUCCAGUGGCUUUUUUCUUUUUUUUUAAAAUCCAUGUAUACGUUAAACGGAGAGCACUAUCUAACAAUUCCCAGAACUGAGACGCAGUACGACAUCUGUCUGCUCCUGGGUAGCGGCUCUUUUAUCAAGCGGAAAAGGAAGCCCUGGGGACCCUUCGCAGGAAAGGAGCUUCAGAAGAGGCCUGGGUCCCACGGGAACGCCCCUGAAUCCACAAUCGGCACCUGUGAGGGAUGUGCGCCAAAAAAAACGCUGUGCCUGGCUAGCGCAUCAAAGUUUGCGUUCGGGAUCGUGCGGUGCACGCUUGGUGAGUGUUGACCUUGAUUCAGCACUGCCUUAUAAAAGAAACAAAAAAAAAACACCUCAGCUGGGUACGUUUGUGCGCACGUGCGUGCGUGUGUGUGUUUUAAAUUUGAUACAUUAACCCUGAAUGACAUCAAAAGGCCUAUUCAUGAUCGUGCUUCGUAGCAGCCUUUUGAAGAUUGGCAUAAACAGCUGUGUGUAGUGCACUGAGAAAGAGAGGAGGAAGGAUCUAAUUAGGAAGAGCAGGCUAGUUGACUCAACCUUAGAUAUGAUGUUGAUACAUGAGAAGGGAAUCAGUGCAGGAAAAGUUAAAGGAGGUUUCUGUCUAUUGCUAGAAACAUCACAAAGGCAAAUAUGGGCAAAUAUGUCGAUCUUUGUGUACAACUUGCCGUAGAACAAUGCGUACACACAAUCCCAUGAUUUGUGUACGGAGGUGUUUCACCAAUCUUCAAACACAACGUAUGUACAUUGUACGCCCAUUCUCUUCAUGAAUCUGAAAGCGACUCAAAUCAGCCUUUAAAUCAUGUGCACAUGAACGUGCUUAACGUCCACCCCCACGAUUAUCC
Clupea harengus (Atlantic herring) is the source of this 2036-nucleotide long non-coding RNA. The record is from Ensembl. NCBI's taxonomy places the organism in Eukaryota, Metazoa, Chordata, Actinopteri, Clupeiformes, Clupeidae.